UCAAGACAAUCCGGAUAGCCAGUGUAAC
Molecule: non-coding RNA, 28 nt
Filed under: Bombyx mori (domestic silkworm)
Lineage: Eukaryota; Metazoa; Arthropoda; Insecta; Lepidoptera; Bombycidae
Source: RNAcentral